RNAcentral lists this ribosomal RNA (468 nucleotides) under uncultured bacterium. Its description in RNAcentral is "partial 16S ribosomal RNA". It matches the Rfam family "Bacterial small subunit ribosomal RNA", at positions 28 to 507 of the family's 1533-position model. The record is from RNAcentral.
GACGAACGCUGGCGGCGUGCUUAACACAUGCAAGUCGAACGGAAAGGCCCUGCUUUUGUGGGGUGCUCGAGUGGCGAACGGGUGAGUAACACUUGAGUAACCUGCCCUUGACUUUGGGAUAACUUCAUGAAACUGGGGCUCAUACCGCAUAGGAUCUCCUGCUGCAUGGUGGGGGUUGGAUAGUUUCGGCGGUUGGGGAUGGACUCGCGGCUUAUCAGCUUGUUGGUGGGGUAGUGGCUUACCAAGGCCUUGACGGGUAGCCGGCCUGAGAGGGUGACCGGCCAAAUUGGGACGGAGAUACGGCCCAGACUCGUACGGGAGGCAGCAGUGGGGAAGAUUGCACAAUGGGCGGAAGGAUGAUGCAGCAAAGCAGCGUGGGGGAAGAGGGGCUGCGGGUUGGAAACCGCUUUCGCCUGUGACGAAGCGUGAGUGACGGUAAUGGGUAAAGAAGCACCGGCUAACUACGUG